Molecule: long non-coding RNA, 506 nt
Filed under: Lotus japonicus
Lineage: Eukaryota; Viridiplantae; Streptophyta; Magnoliopsida; Fabales; Fabaceae
Description: long non-coding RNA (LJAP_LNC000689)
Source: RNAcentral
UACUUCUCUUUAAUAGAUGAUGUGACAAUGAAAAAAGAGUGAGAAAGAAAGAUAAAAUGAGUGAAAAUGAAAUAAAAAAGAAUAAGAAUGUAAAUAUUUCAAAACUCAACAUCAAUAUCGAACCAUGCAUGCACAAACAUAACUUUCCCUCUUGUUGUAGUACAAAAAACAUCUCAACAGAUCUCAAACAAAAUAACACACCCGCUACAUGUCUAGCUCAAUAUAGAAAGCAAGAAAAACCAACAACGGCAACAGCGGCAGCAACAACAGACAUGCCAAGGGUGGAGGCUCCGCCGGUUGCAUCAGCCGGAGCGGCCUCAGGAGUACUAGCAUCGUCAGCAGGGGCGGGCUCCGGAGCAAAGAGCUCAAUGGGGUCACUAGCCUGGGCUGGUGGUGAUGAGAUCUCAGCCUCUGCAGAUGGCGGAGAGGCCGCUGGAGAAGAGGUUGAAGGUACUGGUGCCGAAGUUAAGGACGUAGGGGAAGAUGCUGGGGCCUUUGAUGGCGAA